AGCAAAUGCCGGAUCCUCUGCUUGGGAAGACAUAGUCCUCCUUUCCGAAGGACCCCAUUCAGCAAAAAGGAAUAUAAAUCUUUUAAAUACACUAUAGCAUCAGGCAGAGUCAAGAGGAGUCUCUACCUGCUUCUAACCAGAUUGCCAGAAAUCUUCCUUCUCUGGAUGGAGACUAAGAGGUACUUACUUCUUGCCCUGGGAAGGGAAGAUCUUGGCUUUCUGCUCAGAUCACUUCCUUCAAGAAGAGUUCCUCAGGUUUCUUUCAUUGGACAAAUAUCAAUUUAGCACCUACUAUGUGCCUGGUACUGUGCUAGGCUAUCUGGGUAUACCAUGGUGAACAAAAUGGAUGUUUUUCCUGAGCUUGAAAAUGAUGAUUCUUCCUAUGGAAAUGAGGUUGGAAUCUAGGGGCUUGGAUACCCCCCACAUCAGAAGCUCAAAUCCUUCAUAAAUGGCAAAAAAGAGGAAUCAAAGAUAGCUAGGUUUUGAGGAUUACCUAAAACCCAGACAGAUGACUCGCUGUUUAAAAAGUAAACUUUUAGAACAGUUUUAGACUUACAGAAAAGUUAUGCAGAUAGUACAGAAUUGCCAUGUACCCCAACCCAGUUUCUCCUAUUGUUGACAACUGUCAUUACUGCGGAACAUUUUCCACAACACUGGUAUGUUAUUGUUAACUAAA
This 676-nucleotide long non-coding RNA is filed under the name Pongo abelii (Sumatran orangutan). Its description in RNAcentral is "lincRNA". The record is from RNAcentral. Lineage: Eukaryota; Metazoa; Chordata; Mammalia; Primates; Hominidae.